ACCCCCUGGCAAUGGGCAGAGACGUCUCCCUGGUGGUGUUGUUCCCACAUCAGCCAGGGCAGAGCAGGUAGCAGUCCUUUGUUCAUCCUAGCUAGAGGCCUGACUUAGUGGCCAAAGCUGUUUCAUGCCUAGGGCACAUUC
This is a small nucleolar RNA of Microtus oregoni (creeping vole), 141 nucleotides long. RefSeq annotates it as small nucleolar RNA SNORA48. The record is from RefSeq and is a predicted model, not a curated record. Lineage: Eukaryota; Metazoa; Chordata; Mammalia; Rodentia; Cricetidae. The transcript has a single exon.